This is a long non-coding RNA of Canis lupus familiaris (dog), 1834 nucleotides long. RefSeq lists it as uncharacterized. Lineage: Eukaryota; Metazoa; Chordata; Mammalia; Carnivora; Canidae. The transcript is spliced from 3 exons. The record is from RefSeq and is a predicted model, not a curated record.
GCCGCAGGGGAGCGUCAGGUUUGUGACCGCCCGCGCCUGUGGCCCCUGGCGGCCGCGGGGCUCUCUGGGAGCCGGGCCGCCCUCAGCGGGGGACACCUCGGGGACCCGGGCGACGCCGCCCCUGCAGCGCCUCGCGUCAGGCCUGGGAGCGGGGCCGCACGUGAGGAGGAAGACGCUUGCGGGCACUUCCGGCCUCGCUCCGCCUCCUUUUGGGGAAAGGAAACGCCAAACCCGUGCUUCUGCCCGGAAGGAGCGGGCCGCCCCUCGCGCGGCCGCCUGCGCGUCUGGGAACCCCCGGGCCCGCGUCUCCCGGCCCCUCCGGCCGCGGUGAACCGAGUGAACCAAGCCGCGGCGGCGACGGACUCUGCAGGCUCCCCUGCAAUUACGCCACCUCCCACCGGCUCCCACCGGCUCCCACCGGCUCCCUGAAAGGGGCUGGAGGCCACGGCUUCUGCCUCAGUUUUCCCAGCUGCUUCCUCCGAGGUGUGAGGUCUGGCUCCUAACUUGCGGGUCUCUGGCAGAUGAGGAAAUGAGUCACAGUGAAACCAGAUGACUUUCCUAGAUCACAAAGCUAGUAAGAAGUGAACCAAAGACUUCAAUCUGAGUAGCUUUGUUUGGAGUCCUGUGGACAUUAUUGGAACUUCUGGCGACAUGUGAUAAACAACAAUAAAUAAAACUACAUAUUACAUACAAGAGAGUAUGGGAAACUUGUCAAAGUGAUAUAAGAAUCCAAAGAGAAAAAAUAUAACACUGGCUUGGAAAUGGAAUGACAACAUAUUAGUCUGGGGCAGUAUUUUUAACAAGUGCUUUUUCCCAGGAGUUACCCUGAGCUCAUGAGGGAAUAUCUCGAUUGUGGAAUUUCAAACUGAAUAGAUAUUACACUUAUGGAUGCUAUACAAUAUCAACUAUUCACCAGAGAGACUGAUGAUUAAAAAAUCUUCCAAGGAUAUCUAUGUAAAUAUUUAUCUUGUAUAACAUAUUUUAUAUAUUUUAUUUUAGAUUUGGCAUGUUGAGAGAUAAUUUUGUUCUUUGACAUUAAUUUUAAUCCUAUGGGGGUAGGGUGGUGGUGGAAAUAGUUCACAAAGAUUUCUUGGGCAGACAAAAAUGUUGAUAGUCAGACAUAAUAGGAUUUGCAGCUAUUUUAAGUCAAAAUGAGUUCUUUAAUUCUCAUGUAGUGAAGGUAGAAUUAAUUCAUUACUAACCUCACAACAAAUUUCAAGGAAACUAGGUCUGCUGUAACUGUUAAAUUGUGAUAGAAAUUAGGAAAUGUUGAAAUGGUCUCAUCAAGAAACUGCAUAAUGUCAUUUAGUGCAUUAGCAGAGGCCCCCAAAUCUUGUUCAAAAGUGUCUUUUUCUAUCUUUAUUUCACCAUUGCGUGGCUCAUUUGAAACAGCCAGCAUGUCUGAAGCAGUUUAUAACUGUGGCUAAAGAAACUAUUCAGCACAGCUCGUUAACUAGCAAUUUUACCUCAAGACCAUCCUAAGUAUUUGAUUCCUCGUGGUUUAUUCUUCUGAACAGAAAAUAAAUAAAUAAAUAGUGCAUGCUAUAAAUAUACUUCUUGAGUGUGGGUUGUUUCUUGAUGAGUCAACUGAUAAUAUUAAUUCAGUUUGUUGGCUAACAACGAUUGUGUUGUGCGUGUCUGUGCAUGGAUUGCUAGGGUAGCGACAAAAUUCUUUAAACAACAGCAGUUUGAAUGCUUAAUGUUCUAUCUUUGUUGUUAAUUCCUUCCUCUUCCCCUGAAGUUUCAUAAAGUGAAGACGGUCAAGUAAUCUGGGUUCUAGUCCCUGUUGUAUAGUUGGCUCGAUAUACCUGAGUAAACACCAAAACAAUGCUGA